Molecule: long non-coding RNA, 219 nt
Filed under: Vigna radiata
Lineage: Eukaryota; Viridiplantae; Streptophyta; Magnoliopsida; Fabales; Fabaceae
Description: long non-coding RNA (VRAD_LNC006141)
Source: RNAcentral
GUACAAAUAAUAAAAACUGACAAUAAAAUAUAACAAGCUUAAAAUAAAAAAAACGCUCUCCUAAAUAAAAGGAAAAUCAAAACCACCUAUAUCUAUUUUAUCUCAAUCAAAAUGAAACCAAAUAUUAUUAAACCUAAAACUAAUCAAAUAAGAUUUUAAUGAAUCCCUAAAAUUUAAGUUUAUCCUAACAAGAUAAUACACAAAUACCCACACUCACCC